RNAcentral lists this ribosomal RNA (253 nucleotides) under uncultured bacterium. Its description in RNAcentral is "partial 16S ribosomal RNA". It matches the Rfam family "Bacterial small subunit ribosomal RNA", at positions 524 to 776 of the family's 1533-position model. The record is from RNAcentral.
UACGUAGGGGGCAAGCGUUGUCCGGAAUCAUUGGGCGUAAAGAGCGUGUAGGCGGUUCGGUAAGUCGGCUGUGAAAGUCCAGGGCUCAACCCUGGGAUGCCGGUCGAUACUGCCGAACUAGAGUUCGGAAGAGGCGAGUGGAAUUCCCGGUGUAGCGGUGAAAUGCGCAGAUAUCGGGAGGAACACCUAUGGCGAAGGCAGCUCGCUGGGACGUUACUGACGCUGAGACGCGAAAGCGUGGGGAGCAAACAGG